UGCUGACAUAAGUAACGAUAAAGCGGGUGAAAAGCCCGCUCGCCGGAAGACCAAGGGUUCCUGUCCAACGUUAAUCGGGGCAGGGUGAGUCGACCCCUAAGGCGAGGCCGAAAGGCGUAGUCGAUGGGAAACAGGUUAAUAUUCCUGUACUUGGUGUUACUGCGAAGGGGGGACGGAGAAGGCUAUGUUAGCCGGGCGACGGUUGUCCCGGUUUAAGCAUGUAGGCUGGUUAUCCAGGCAAAUCCGGAUAAUCAAGGCUGAGGUGUGAUGACGAGGCACUACGGUGCUGAAGUAACAAAUGCCCU
Molecule: ribosomal RNA, 305 nt
Filed under: Xanthomonas citri pv. citri
Lineage: Bacteria; Pseudomonadati; Pseudomonadota; Gammaproteobacteria; Lysobacterales; Lysobacteraceae
Description: partial 23S ribosomal RNA
Rfam family: Bacterial large subunit ribosomal RNA
Source: RNAcentral